RNAcentral lists this long non-coding RNA (1373 nucleotides) under Marmota monax (woodchuck). Lineage: Eukaryota; Metazoa; Chordata; Mammalia; Rodentia; Sciuridae. The record is from RNAcentral.
AUGGUUAGAUUUAUUCAAUUCAUUUGCAACUGCAUAUCAGAGUAUUAAAAUGGAUAGUGCCCAAGUCAGUUUCCUCUCCAUACAAUGGAGAUAAUGAAGAACUUCACAGAACUGCCCUGAAGAGUAAAAAAUAUAAUGUUGAUGAAGUAAUUAUCUACAUUACUAGUUUUGGGGACAUAGUGACCCUAAGUAAAUAGGACUUCACAAAGUUAAGCUUUAUACACUACACUUAAACAUUUUAUAGAUCUUUAAAAACAAUUUUUUCUCAUUUAUUAGGGCAAUAGAAGUGGGUUUGAUGGUCAGCCAGAAGUCUCUACCUGGUCACCUGGGAAGGACAGGGAGAGCAGAUAAGGGAGCUAUCGUGAACAUGUUGGAUUCGAGGAAUCCAUGGAACACCCAGGCAGAAAUGGCCAAUAAGACAUUGGAUGUGCAAGGCUCGGGCUGGACCAAGAGAGCAGAUGAAACCAAGGGUGUGGCUGUUGUAGAGGGUGUUCUAGGAAGGUCAGUUCUUACUAGGUACAGAAUGGUCCAGAAAGCUAGAAAAGGGUAUCAGGUGAGAAGUAGAUAUACUUGUCUAGGUGUAAAUUGAGAGGAGCCUGACCAGAGAGGUAGAAAUAAGAAUGGAAAGAAAGGAGAAGUACGAGAUUCUGCAAAUAAACAUUGAGAGUGAUAGUGAAGUGUUGGCUGGAUAAAGUGAGAUAAGGCCAAGUGUUUUGUGCCUAGGAGCUUUGGAGGAAGGAGGCCCAAUAAUAGAAAUAGGUAGGGUCCUGGUCCUGGGGCAGGAGUUGGGAGAUGACAUUACAUGGGAUAUUGUCAUUUGGAUUUUGGCAAUAUAAGAGGACAUUCAGGUGGAAAUGCCCAGCAGGGAGUUUGAGACAGGGAGCUGCACACAGGGUAAACCGAGGCUGGUAACACAAGCCAUCUUUUAACGGUAAGAGUGAAAGCUCUGAGAUGGAAGAUGUUUCCUAGGGGGAGUGAAGACCCUUUAUUAUAAGUUCAAUUGCAAACUGUGAAUGAGUGAAGUAUGGCCAAUUCGCAUCAUUCAUGGUAGUUAUGACCUAUGAAUUUGCUCUGAAUUCGCCAGUACAGAGCAUUGUUCCUAUGGGAACUUACAGGAUUAUGUUCCUGAGAGCCUCUGAUCACAACAUUCUCCUCUACUGAUUAAUACAUAGGCUGCUAUAAAUUACAUGUUAUGGUGAUUUGCUCAACAUACAUUGAACUGGGAACUCAUGGCCAACAACAGUACUAUAAUUCAUGCCUGAACGUACUUUCCCUUAAAUGUAUUUUCUCCGUGAAGGACAGAAACCACAGCCUUCUUGUGCUGAGGAAUGCCAGGCGGGACUUUAGCCCUAUUCUUGGGACCAUUUUAAAUA